Molecule: long non-coding RNA, 725 nt
Organism: Folsomia candida
Lineage: Eukaryota; Metazoa; Arthropoda; Collembola; Entomobryomorpha; Isotomidae
Exons: 3
Source: RefSeq, a predicted model, not a curated record
UUCAAAGUGAGUUGUUUAUUUAUUUGCAAUUCUUCUUCUGAACUUAAUCACACGAUACUUUCAGUGUAUGUUAUUAUUUUGUUAUUCUAAAUUGCGUUUGAGCUCAAAAUAUGCAAGUCAUAAAAAACAAAAUUCUUCACAUUUGAUUAGCAAAAAAUAUAAUUCGUCCAAACACGAAGUAUUAUUUAUUCAAUACUCGAACUGUUUCAUAUUAACAUUAAUAAACGAAGAGUAUAUUUAAUUACUCUGGUUAAAUAAUUAUUGUUUACAUCACUUCAUUCAGACGUGAGUUCAUCCUCGAAAGUGAGAAUAGUGCAUAUGUAAUAGGCGUUGCCUGUCAAAAAUAAAAUAAGUUCGAUCAUAAAUUCCAAUCCUAAUCCUCUUCAAUCCUUUAAUUGAUUCGGCCUGAAUUUUCUCCAACUUUUCCAUCGUAAAUGACUUUAACGGAAGCAGUUUAGGUUUGCAAAGAACGAAAGUGAGCUCGUCUUCACAAUGGAGAUAACCUCGCUUUGGAAUAACUUCUUUAAUUUUGGACGAUGAUCCAAUACCACCAUCAUCUUCGGCAAUGGGGGUUUGUGCCUUACUUGGAUUAAUGGGAGGGAACCGAUUAAGGCAUGUGUAUUACCCGGAUCCUAGCUACGGUGACACAACAGAAAUCGGACCCAAAAAUAAUGUAUUUGGAAUGAAUUGAGCAGAAGUUACUCAAAUAAAUGUAUCUGUAAGUG